CAAAGAACGACGUGAGCACGACGGCGUACGAGGAGGCCGAGGCGCGCAAGGAGGCGCGCAAGGGGCCAGGAGAGGAGGGCAGCAAGAAGAUGUCGAAAGCACAGAUGGCCGCUGCCCUCUUCGAGAAGCAGAAGCAGGAUCGCGCUCGGGAGCGC
RNAcentral lists this non-coding RNA (155 nucleotides) under Chroomonas cf. mesostigmatica. Lineage: Eukaryota; Cryptophyceae; Pyrenomonadales; Chroomonadaceae. The record is from RNAcentral.